CUGAAUACCUUCUAUUGAACUAAAUGAUACAAAAGGUAUAUGGUAAACAGCCUGGAUGUUAUUAACUCAGCACGAGGGAAUCAUCACAAAGGAGAGAGGGCCAAGGACGUUGUGUACGAAGAAUUUGGAGAGUGGAUGGGAGGAUAGGAUAACUGUUCCUCCUUCAAUGUGACGAAUUAGGCAUAGAAACUUAUGGACGGGAAAGAAGAAAGAGAAUGCAAAGGUUUGGGGCAUUUCGCAGAUCUUCUCUGAACCUUAAAUUUUCAUGAUAUCCUCAAAAGAUGAUGCAUUCCUUGUUCUGGAAGGGAGGGGAGAACAUGCAAACCUCACACCAGCCCUAAGCUGGCUUUCUGCUGAUUGAAUUCUGCAGACAUCAAUAGAGAGGCAUUUCACCAUCUGGAGCAGUUUCGGGGCGUUUUUCCCAAGGAAGACAGCAAAGAACUGGUGCAUCCCUUGAAGAGGGUUAAAGCGGAGCAGAGCCCAGUUACAGACGUGGAACUCAAUUCAGGUGUAAUCCACCUGGCAGGGAAAUUCCAGAGUAAUCUUUUGGAAGAAGUCGCUGCUGACUUGGGAAAGGCUGCAAUUCUGCGGCGCUGGGCAGAGCAAGGCCUCGGCAUCGGGCCACGUGCCACGGGCUGGAAGAAAUGGAAAUUCUCAAUCGGUUGUGACUCAGCAGUGAAUCCGGGCAGCUAGAAAGAGUGACGAUUAUUUUAACAAGCAACUGGACUCAGAAGUGAGGGUCUGAGCGCAAACACUCCGGAGUCAGAGACGAAAGAUGAAUCACUGAGGAAAAUCUGGAAAAGGCAACCCUGACUCAAGUUUUAAAAAUAAGGUGAGAGAGACUUCUCCUCCUAGCCAUGACGUAAUAACAGGGGGAUGGGGGCGUGGGCCGUGGACUUCUGAUCCAGCCUGGGACAUCAGAUAAAAUGCAUGAACACAGAGUGUUCAGAAACUGAAUAGGAGACAGCGCAGACAUGACUCCUGCAAGAAGGGAAGCAAGCGAGGUGAGCACAAG
This 1015-nucleotide long non-coding RNA is filed under the name Sus scrofa (pig). Its description in RNAcentral is "lncRNA (ENSSSCG00050036396.1)". Lineage: Eukaryota; Metazoa; Chordata; Mammalia; Artiodactyla; Suidae. The record is from RNAcentral.